AUACGGGAGGCAGCAGCUAAGAAUCUUCCGCAAUGGGGGAAACCCUGACGGAGCGACGCCGCGUGGGUGAUGAAGGCCGAGAGGUUGUAAAACCCUUUUCUUGACGAAGAAUAAGGGGGGGAGUGGAAAGCCCCCUCGAUGACGUUAGUCAAGGAAUAAGCCCCGGCUAAUUACGUGCCAGCAGCCGCGGUAAUACGUAUGGGGCGAGCGUUGUUCGGAAUCAUUGGGCGUAAAGGGCGCGUAGGCGGUUCGGGAAGCCCGGUGUGAAAGGCUAUGGCUUAACCAUAGUUUUGCGCUGGGAACUGCCGGACUGGAGUUUAGGAGGGGAAGCUGGAAUUCCUGGUGUAGGGGUGAAAUCUGUAGAUAUCAGGAAGAACACCGGAGGCGAAGGCGAGCUUCUAUCCAUAGACUGACGCUGAGGCGCGAAAGCGUGGGGAGCAAACAGGAUUAGAUACCCCAGUAGUCC
RNAcentral lists this ribosomal RNA (466 nucleotides) under uncultured bacterium. RNAcentral's name for it is "bacterial SSU rRNA". It matches the Rfam family "Bacterial small subunit ribosomal RNA", at positions 339 to 796 of the family's 1533-position model. The record is from RNAcentral.